Molecule: ribosomal RNA, 419 nt
Filed under: bacterium
Lineage: Bacteria
Description: partial 16S ribosomal RNA
Rfam family: Bacterial small subunit ribosomal RNA
Source: RNAcentral
UGGGGGAUAUUGCACAAUGGGCGAAAGCCUGAUGCAGCGACGCCGCGUGGGGGAUGAAGGCCUUCGGGUUGUAAACUUCUUUUGCUCUGAACAAGGCGCACCAUGGGGUGUGUUGAGUGUAGGGGUUGAUUAGCGCCGGCUAACUACGUGCCAGCAGCCGCGGUAAUACGUAGGGCGCGAGCGUUGUCCGGAAUUAUUGGGCGUAAAGGGCUUGUAGGUGGCUGGUUGCGUCUGUCGUGAAAGCUCAUGGCUUAACUGUGGGUUUGCGGUGGGUACGGGCUGGCUUGAGUGCAGUAGGGGAGGCUGGAAUUCCUGGUGUAGCGGUGGAAUGCGCAGGUAUCAGGAGGAAUACCGGUGGCGAAGGCGGGUCUCUGGGCUGUUACUGACACUGAGGAGCGAAAGCAUGGGUAGCGAACAGG